GUUGGAUUUCUGUUAAUAAUUUAUAUAAAAUAUUUUGAUGAAUAUUUAUAUAAUAUUAACAUAAUUCAUAUUACUAUAUAUUUUAGUAUAUGAAAUUUUACUUUGAGAAAAUUAGAGUGCUUAAAGCAGGCAUAUGCCUUGAAUACUCCAGCAUGGAAUAAUAUUAAAGAUUUUUAUCUUUCUUAUUGGUUCUAAGAUAAGAAUAAUGAUUAAUAGGGACAGUUGGGGGCAUUUGUAUUUAACAGUCAGAGGUGAAAUUCUUAGAUUUGUUAAAGACAAACUAAUGCGAAAGCAUUUGCCAAGGAUGUUUUCAUUAAUCAAGAACGAAAGUUAGGGGAUCGAAGACGAUCAGAUACCGUCGUAGUCUUAACCAUAAACUAUGCCAACUAGAGAUUGGAGGUUGUUCCUUACUCCUUCAGCACCUUAA
This 427-nucleotide ribosomal RNA is filed under the name Cryptosporidium parvum. RNAcentral's name for it is "SSU rRNA". It matches the Rfam family "Eukaryotic small subunit ribosomal RNA", at positions 633 to 1091 of the family's 1831-position model. The record is from RNAcentral. Lineage: Eukaryota; Apicomplexa; Conoidasida; Eucoccidiorida; Cryptosporidiidae.